CCUACGGGAGGCAGCAGUGGGGAAUAUUGCACAAUGGGCGCAAGCCUGAUGCAGCCAUGCCGCGUGUGUGAAGAAGGCCUUAGGGUUGUAAAGCACUUUCAGUAAGGAGGAAAGGUUAGUAGUUAAUACCUGCUAGCUGUGACGUUACUUACAGAAGAAGCACCGGCUAACUCCGUGCCAGCAGCCGCGGUAAUA
RNAcentral lists this ribosomal RNA (195 nucleotides) under uncultured Gammaproteobacteria bacterium. Its description in RNAcentral is "partial 16S ribosomal RNA". It matches the Rfam family "Bacterial small subunit ribosomal RNA", at positions 338 to 525 of the family's 1533-position model. The record is from RNAcentral. Lineage: Bacteria; Pseudomonadati; Pseudomonadota; Gammaproteobacteria.